RNAcentral lists this small nucleolar RNA (122 nucleotides) under Echinops telfairi (small Madagascar hedgehog). RNAcentral's name for it is "Small nucleolar RNA SNORA61 (ENSETEG00000025564.1)". Lineage: Eukaryota; Metazoa; Chordata; Mammalia; Afrosoricida; Tenrecidae. The record is from RNAcentral.
ACCCUCCAGGUUCCUUAGCCCUCAAACCUAAACAGGGGUCUGAGAGGCUUAAAGAGAAAUGGAGGAAAGUGAAAUUGAAACGGACUUGGAGUCUGCGACAAACAAGUUCACUUCAAACAAUC